UCCCCUGUCUUCGGCCCCUCCCUUCAUCCAGCACUGAAAAGCAUCUCUAAUUCCGGCGGGCACCGUGGUUGUAGCUCUGCGGCAAGCUCGGCACAGGUGCCAACUGUUAUUCACUCUGCAGCUUCCAUUCCCACAGCUCAGCACCUGCAAAGCCCCCAUUAGCAUCGUGCCAAGGAGAGGGGCUGCGGCUGUGUGUGUGCGUGCCUGCGUGCGAGCGCACGUGCCCGUCUGCCGGUGCUCGCGGGAGCCACGAGGGAAAUUUCCAGCACAAAGAUCGUAUGCCUGAGAGAGAGGAGAAUUGCUCAGCAAACUUCAGAAGCGAUCAAAAUGUCCUCUCCAUAAAGUCCCGGCUUAAAAAAUGUUAGCAGCAGUGCUUACUGAGUGCCUCGUGUGCAGGGCCCUCUUCCAGGCCCUGUGCUCACGGCGAUGCUGAGGUCCCUCCCGUGGGGAGAAGCAGGCAAUAACGAAGGGACGAAGGGAAGGAGCGAUCACUGCUACAGAGGAAGGAAAUCAGAGUGACUGGAAGCGGCUAGUCAGGGAAGGCUCUGGCGAGGGACUCUGGAGCCCAGCAGCCUGACAAGAAGGGGCCAGCUCGGGGGAGACAGCCAGGUAGCCCCUGAGAGGGCUCUGGAGACCACACCUGCAGUCCCUGCCUCCCCCGAUGUCCCACCUGUCUGUCCCUGCUCCCUCUGCUGAUGACCCUGCGCCAGCCCCCUCAGCGGUGAUGAAGGCCUGGGCCACGGCUGCCUCUGGACAUGGCACAGGCGUCCUGCCUGGGGGGCGGCCCUAGAAAUGUGACAUUCUCCUGGCCCACUGGGCUGAGAGUCCACCACGGCCCUCACGCUCCCAUGGUGGAGGGCGUUUAAUAUGGGGAAGUGCACGUGGUCCGCCUGCCCACUAAAGCAGACACCCAGAGCCCCCACCCUCCUCUGUGCUCUUUCGAGGCAGACCAGUGUGCUCAUCAAGAGUGCAGGCUCCGGGGCAGAUGGCCCGGUUACUGGCUGUGUGACCCUGGACGGUUCCUCAGCCCCUCUGUGCCUCAGUAUCCUUGUCAGGGAGGUAGGGAAAUAAUGCUGGUGCUGCUGUGAAGACUCAAGGAAGCAGGGCAGGGGCUCUGGACACGCUAGCUGUGAUCGUACGGACGGCUGUUUGUGGGGCCGUGCUGGCCCGGAGUUUGGUUGCAGGUGACAGGAAUGGACUCCAGCCAUCUCAGACAGGAGGGCAUGCCUGGGGAGAGCUCCCUUUCCUGCCGUGUCUCACUCCAGCCUUGGCCCUGAGAGUGGGUGUGUGGUCAGCCCGCCCUGCCAUGUGGGGGACCAGGCGGGGGAGUCAGCUCUGAGUGAAGGGGCAGCAAGGGGCCGGCGAGGGCCUGCCCUCUUCCGAGACUGUCCCUGUGAAGACACACCAAGCCGGCGGCUUUCGGCAGACCCAACCCCACACCGUGCGUCCACGCUGUUUGAUUUGAAAGCCCUUUUCCCACACACUGCUGAGCUCAGCUGGCACCAGGGUGGUGGACUGCAGGUGCACGGACAGGGAGCCGGAGGCUCGAGUCCUCGGGGCUGGCUAGGAUCCUGGCACUGGCCCCUGAGAGUCCCGUCUGUGCCCUGUGUGAACUGGGCAGGCCUUCGGGGCAGUGAGACAGCCUCAAGUCCUGGCGGUCAAUCCACGACAUGCUCGGUGUCCUGGCUGCAUCCCCUCACCUCUGGGCGCCAGCUCCAGGGUCGAGCGCACAUCCUUGGCAAGGGCACCUCGCUUAAGGAAUGCUGGCCUUCGGCAUAUGGCCCUCUUUCCAUCACAAAAGGGUGAUGAGACGCUGCGCUCAUGGGCCGCAUCCUCGGGGCGGGGUCCCACGCCAGGCGCUCGGAGCAUCUCUGGAAAGGGCACCAGGGACUGCCAAGGUGUUCUCACUAUUAUUAUUGAGCAUAAAACACUGCAAAUGCUGGCAGAUCUGCAGGCAAAGUGGAUCCUCCUUCCUGGGGAGAGAUCGGAGGGCAGCUUUACGAGUCUAUUGGAGUCACGGCCCCGCAGAGGGAGCGGGCUCGGUGGACGCCUUCAAGAGCAGAGCUGUUCCGGGCUGGGAAGUCUGAUUCCCUACAUCUGUUUUUAUGGGAACUGCUGGGAGCCGCGGGGGGAAGCAGGAGUAUGAACAGCGCAGACGGCAGCGGCCUCCUCACCAGACUGUUGAUGGGUUCGGCCGCAUAAACGUGGCCCUCGGUCUGAGGCAGGAGUUAUUAAACGAGACGAGCCCACCGAGAGGGGCUCAAGCCGCAGAAGAGGAAUCAGGGCUUUAUGCCCCCCGGUUCUGCGCAGUUAAAGAAAAUAUCCCCAUUAAAUGCGAAUUAAUUGGCUCCUGUCAUUGGUGCGGCCCUGCCUCUGGCCUCGUGGUGGGCCGGGCGGUUGAGAGGCCUGUCCCGGGCGGCCGGGUGGGAGUCCACGCAGGCCCGUGCUGCUGAAUUGCUUCCUGCCGUCCUGCCCGAGCCUGCUGCAGGGAGCACUGGCUCCUGGCGGGAGGGCGAGCUGCCAGUCUGCUCGUAGCUCCUCACCUGUCCCCUGGGGGCUGCCAUCCUUGUUCCCACUGGCAUCUUGUUGCUGCAGGAGGCUGGGACCUAGUCAGGCACUGUGGGACACACACGCUUACACGUUCAGCCCCAGAGAGGAGGCCUCCAAGUGGGCUCACAAGGUCUGCCCAGUCCAGCCCCGACGUCUUGGUCAGGGCUGCUACACACAGUUGUGCGUGUCAUGCACCACAUGAUCUGGCCCAAACCCCUUCUGCACUCUAUUCAUUAUAGCCCUGGGCCUGUCCCCACCCAGGGGGCACUUUUCUGAGGGCCCCAUGCCAGCUAGCAGAGAGCUGGUUCUGGCGUUCUGGACUCGACUACACUCGCCAUCCUGUAGCCGCACUCAAGCAUACCCCCUGCCCCAAACGCCACAGGGCCUGUGUCUGCACCAUCCCUCCCUCUCCGUGGUGCUCCCCUCUUCUCUGCACCCAGUGAGCCAAGCCUCCCAGCCCAUGCAAACGCCACCUCCUCCUCUAGGCCCUUCCCUCUGAGCUUCACCUGUCGCCCCUGCCUUCCUUCUGGAAACAGUGCCCGCCUGGCACACACGCAUGCUCUUUUCGGGGAUUUGCUCCUCUGUCACUCCAGGCCCACCCCUGCAGCAGUUGACGGGUCCCUGCUGGGCACACGGCCCAGGCCCGCGGCUCAGCUGUCCCCUAGGCUACUCUGGAACCACAGCUGGAAGGAGAUGUGUGGUCCUUUUGUGAGAGGUCAGGAUGUGAGCGCCUCCAGGGGCCUUGCUGAGGAGGCUGCCUUGGAAAGAUGAGCAGCCCUGGUCCCUUCGGCUGGGCCCUGGCCCAGAGCCUCUCCUCUGCUGGGGUCCUGUCCCUGGACACACUGGGGUUAAGCGUUGCCCUCCUGUGGCUCGGGGAGUCGUGCUCACCUGAAGACUGUGGGUAGCCCGGGGUCCUGCGGGAUGUCUGAAGGAAGGUGGGCCAAAAGAUGGAGAAAAGGGUGGCCGAG
This 3518-nucleotide long non-coding RNA is filed under the name Equus caballus (horse). Its description in RNAcentral is "lncRNA (ENSECAG00000050550.1)". The record is from RNAcentral. Lineage: Eukaryota; Metazoa; Chordata; Mammalia; Perissodactyla; Equidae.